CCCUGAGGUAUGGGGUGACCUUGGGCAGGUACACUGGGGUGCAGGGAGGAGCAGAGUCCUGUGACUGUCAUCUAUGUCUGAUGUGCCUUGAGAAGCACUGGGGGAUACAGCCUGUCAUGGUUAGAACAGAUCAGUUUUACCAGCUCACUGGACUCUAGAACACCAAGCUGCUUCCUGAGAGACAAGAAAGACCCUAGCCCUGGGUGAUGAGUCCCAGAGUGCUCUCUCUCCUGGGUUCAGCUCCCCUUGAAGAAGGCCCUCAGCUCUUGUUUGCUUGGAAGAGUGAGGUAGUAGGAUGCCUGGGUAUACAGGGUGCGCAGAGUGCAGCUGGGACUGGAUGGGGGCAGACGGGGUAAGACCCUCUACUGCAUGACCACUCUUGGGUUUGCUCAGCACACUUAGCUACCAGGUGGUAGAAUCUUGGGUAUGGUAAGUACAGGCAAAGCUUGUACAGGCCUAGGAUGGGUGAAGGGUAGAGGGAUGUGGUCUCUCCUCCAUCUUCCAUUCCCUGGAGCUCUGGUACUUUGGUCCUGGGAACCCAAACUGGUAAGGUCUGGCCAGAAACUUCAACACAUGACAACAGUGACUUCCAUCAUUUGAAAGCAAGAGAGGGCAAGCUCAAGAAAGACUUCCACAGAAGAGACCGUGAUAAGGGGGCCUUCAGAAUGUUGAUGGAGGGAAGGUAGUGACUUCAUCUACAAAGGUACCCAUUCCAGCUACCAGGAUGUUUCUGGGCCUAGCACAGCGACAGGAGAGUUGGCUCUGCACAGGGGCCACCAAAUUUGGCCUCUGGUGACCUUCAAAGUCCUACUGUCACCUAGCCUUCCAGGACAUACAUAUUGGCCUGGCCUCUGCCCGGGCCAGGCUGCCCCGCAGCAGACCUGAAGCUCUGAAUUGUGUGUCUAGGAGUGACCAUGCAUGAGGAACCAAGAAGCAUAUGAGCUAGGACUCCUAGUGCUGCCCCUGGUGGCUCUGUGUUUGCUGCUCAGGCAGGAGCUGUUGGGAGCCAUCCUGAGAGCGUGAGGCCAGCCUGGGAGAGGGGAAGCAGAGUGCAAGUUGGAGGAUGAGCAGGUCAGCGUGGGGGCUGCAGGAGAGCUGUGCAGGUCAGCGUGGGGGCUGCAGGAGAGUUGUGCAGGUCAGCGUGGGGGCUGCAGGAGAGCUGUGGCAAUUGGGACAGGGUUAGGGAGCUGAUAGAGACCCUGACUCCUGACCUCCCAAGGAGGUAGGAGCCUUGGAAAGGAUCUCAGCAAUAAAGAACUGGGGAUGGGGAAUGGUGGGGCCAAGACCAGAGUGGGGAGCCUCAUGUAGAAACUGAUCCUCCUCAGAGAGAUGGGGGCAGGGAGCAGCAGGAGGGUUCCCCUAGGACUUGUGCAUGCAAAAGGGGCUGUGGCCACCUAAGGAAGAGAUGAGGUACUGUCAAGUCCUGGAUGACAGAGUAAGCAGGGCUGAGGGGUGGGCUGGGUUGGGCUGCAGGCAGUAGGGGUUGGGAGUCAGGGAAGGAACUUGUGGAGCUACCCGGAUGUUGGAAGACAGAUGGGCACCCACCAUGGAUGGUCAGGGCCAGAUGUGAGUGAGUCAGAAGGGUGCAGGCAACUCUGACAUGGCUUUUGGUAGAAAUGGCCUAGAGGGAAGAGGGUCCUGCCAGCUUUGGAAGUAGAGCAGAAUGGUCCCUCUCCUGUGACUCAGCCGGAAGCAGGUUUCUGUGCCACCUACCGUCAGGCCCCACUGCCCUGCUUCCUACUUCCUCCCAGUGGUCCCCGGGCAGCCUCUUGGACUCUUGUACCUUUUGUCCCUGACAAUGACAGCACCAUUUCUACCAGGCCCCUCCUGCAGGAGCUCCCGUUGUUGGGCUGGCUGCCCUACUUUUUGCCUGGGAUGGAGCUGCAUUGUCUUUCUGGUCUAAUGGGGGACAAAGGAGAGGCUACUGGGAAAGGAUGCCCUGGCACAGUGGAGACACUCGCCAUGUAGAGUGUAGAAGCCAGCAGCUUUGUUCUGUGAGAGUGGCCUGGUUAAGUGGAUGAGUGACUGGCUGUCUGGUGGUUUCCCUCCAUGUCAGCUCCCCCGGGCUGACCCCCAGAGUGACAGGAGGGUAUGGGGUGGCAGGCUGUAGCUACAGCUAACCUGCCCCAGUUUUUUGCUGUGAUAAACACCAUGAACCAAGGCAGCCUGGGAAGGAGGGCUGUAGCUAGCUUACACGUUACAGUCCAUUGCUGACGGAAACCAAUGCUGGAAAUUAAGGCAGGAACUUGGAGGCAGGAACUGAAGUAGACUAUGGAGGAAUGCGGCUUGCUGGCUGGCUUUCCAUGGCUUGCUUAGCUACCUUUUUCAUACAUCCCAGGACCACCUACUCAGGGAUGGCACCACCCACACUGAGCUGGGCCUUGGCCCUCCCACAUAAAUCA
Non-coding RNA from Myodes glareolus (Bank vole), 2402 nucleotides. The record is from RefSeq and is a predicted model, not a curated record. NCBI's taxonomy places the organism in Eukaryota, Metazoa, Chordata, Mammalia, Rodentia, Cricetidae.